RNAcentral lists this ribosomal RNA (730 nucleotides) under Pseudogymnoascus sp. Its description in RNAcentral is "partial large subunit ribosomal RNA". It matches the Rfam family "Eukaryotic large subunit ribosomal RNA", at positions 47 to 832 of the family's 3401-position model. The record is from RNAcentral. Lineage: Eukaryota; Fungi; Ascomycota; Leotiomycetes; Thelebolales; Thelebolaceae.
AACGGGGAGGAAGAACCACAGGGAUUACCUCAGUAACGGCGAGUGAAGCGGUAACAGCUCAAAUUUGAAAUCUGGCCUCACGGUCCGAGUUGUAAUUUGUAGAGGAUGCUUCGAGCAUGGUCUGGCCUAAGUUCCUUGGAACAGGACGUCAUAGAGGGUGAGAAUCCCGUAUGCGGCCAGGAGUCGAGUUGUUUGGGAAUGCAGCUCAAAAUGGGUGGUAAAUUUCAUCUAAAGCUAAAUAUUGGCCAGAGACCGAUAGCGCACAAGUAGAGUGAUCGAAAGAUGAAAAGCACUUUGGAAAGAGAGUUAAACAGUACGUGAAAUUGUUGAAAGGGAAGCGCUUGCAACCAGACUUGCGCGCGGCCGAUCAUCCGGUGUUCUCACCGGUGCACUCGGCCGUGCUCAGGCCAGCAUCGGUUUUGGCGGCUGGAUAAAGGCCCUAGGAAUGUAGCUCCUCUCGGGGAGUGUUAUAGCCUAGGGUGCAAUGCAGCCUGCUGGGACCGAGGACCGCGCUUCGGCUAGGAUGCUGGCGUAAUGGUUGUAAGCGGCCCGUCUUGAAACACGGACCAAGGAGUCUAACAUCUAUGCGAGUGUUUGGGUGUCAAACCCAUACGCGUAAUGAAAGUGAACGGAGGUGAGAACCCUUAAGGGUGCAUCAUCGACCGGUCCUGAAGUUUACGGAAGGAUCUGAGUAAGAGCAUAGCUGUUGGGACCCGAAAGAUGGUGAACU